GUGCUUCGUGUAGACUUUCUCUGUGGCUUGUGCUUCCCCAACUCUGGAGAGAUCGAACUGCUCUAGGACUCUUCCAUCUCCGGCUGGCCUGCAGCAGACUCAUCUUCCAGCUCACCUAUAGCUCAUCAUCCUAUCCACUAGCAACAAUUAGACAGGAGCAUGUUGUUCUCUGAGAGGCUCCACCCAGCAGCUGACUCAAACAGAUACAGAUACCCACAGCCAAACAGUGGAUGGAGCUUGUGGACUCUUAAGAAGAAUAGGAGGAAGGAUUUCAGGGCCCAAAGGGGAUAGGAACUCCACAAGAAGACUAACAGAGUCAACUCACCUGGACCCUUGGGUCUCUCAGAGUCUGAACCAUCAACCAAAGAACAUAGACAGGCUGCACCUAGGCCUCCCAGAUGUGUAGCAGAUGUGCAGCUUGGUCUUCAUGUGAGUCCUAAAAAAUCUGGAGUAUUAGCUAUCCCAAAAGUUGUUGCUAGUAAGUGAGAUAUGUUCUACUAGCUAAGCUGCCUUGUCUGGCCUCAAAGAGACUUGCAGUGCCAGGGUAGGGGGCAUACACAGGCUCUCCCUCCACUCUGAGAAGAAGGGGAGGGGGAGGGAUUAUGGGAGGAGUUAACUGAAAGGAGGAGCAGUGAACAGGGUGUAAAGUGAGUACGUAAAAAACAGUAAAAUUGAAUAAAAGAUUCCAGUGUAGCUUUCAUCAAUACUCAGCUGGAUCUCCUCAGAAUCUAUGAAGCUGAGAGUCAACCUCUGUGCAGGAUGAAAGUCACCACACAGCCUCUGGAUAAUUUUCAGUUGGCAUAUUGUAUACACUUUUUUAGCUGAUUUCACAUUAUCUAACAACACUCCACAUAGCCCUUGAACAUCAUAAUAUCUAGUUUGCCAGCUAAAUGAUAUAUAGUUCCUAUUGGCCACAGGCUUAUCAUUAUGUGUGAGUUUCUAGAUCAUUCUUUGAGGCCCUAAUGGAUAGUGCCUGAAAACCUAUCACCCACUUCUGGCAUAAUAUUCACAGCAUUUCAUGCAAAGCCUUUGAUCUGUGAUAAAAAAUAAAGUCCAUAGCAGGAUAAUCCUGUAAUGUGUUGGCCACUA
Molecule: long non-coding RNA, 1089 nt
Filed under: Mus musculus (house mouse)
Lineage: Eukaryota; Metazoa; Chordata; Mammalia; Rodentia; Muridae
Description: predicted gene, 41142
Source: RNAcentral